Molecule: transfer RNA, 72 nt
Filed under: Otolemur garnettii (small-eared galago)
Lineage: Eukaryota; Metazoa; Chordata; Mammalia; Primates; Galagidae
Rfam family: tRNA
About the family: Transfer RNA (tRNA) molecules are approximately 80 nucleotides in length. Their secondary structure includes four short double-helical elements and three loops (D, anti-codon, and T loops).
Source: Rfam by way of RNAcentral
GGCUCCAUGCUCAGUGGUUAGAGCACUAGUCUUGUAAACCAGGGGUCAUGAGUUUGAUCCUUGCUGGGGCCU